Megalobrama amblycephala (Wuchang bream) is the source of this 1024-nucleotide non-coding RNA. The record is from the annotation of a RefSeq genome assembly. Lineage: Eukaryota; Metazoa; Chordata; Actinopteri; Cypriniformes; Xenocyprididae.
AACACAUCAUAUCCCAGUUUAAAUACAUUAAACAUUUGAGAAAUGACAUCAAGUAGAAAAAAAAAACAAGUGCAAAAUAAUUUAAGUAUUUAUCCUUCAUAAUAUAUGUUAAUUUCUGUGUGUAUAAGAGGGUUAUGUCAGAAGGCGGAGCUUAACACAGAAACACAUUAGUUCAGUGAUCAGCAUCACAUACAGCAUCACUCAGGCAAGCAGCAGCUACCAUCAUGUUCACUUGUGUCCUUAUAUUGCUGACUUUAACAGAAGGUAUCAGAGCUAAAGAGGUCAUCACUCCAUACAGUGAUGCAGCAUUUGCCACUGAGACCGAGAGUGUGAAACUCUCUUGUAACUACAGCGGUUCUGUUGAAAGUCUUCACUGGUAUCGACAAUAUGCAGGUUCACCACCACAGUUCCUCAUACUGGAAUCCUAUGGAACAGUUACUCCCGCUAAUCCUCCAGUUCCUGGAAUAUCCAUCAGUCACAGAAAAGAAGACAAACGUGUGGAUCUGAUCAUCUCCUCUGCUGCAGUAUCAGACUCUGCUCUGUAUUACUGUGCUCUGAGGCCCACAGUCACAGGAAACACAAGAACACUGUACAAAAACCUGACUGAUGUUAGUCUUACAGUGAGAUGUUGUCAAAAACAACUCCAUACAGGUAACAGUUUGAUUCUGAUGUUGCAUUCAAAUUCAUAUAAAUAUAUACAUUUUCUGGCUGGUUAGUUCAUGCAUUGUUAUAUUCUUAUUAUUGUAUGAGAGUUUUUCAAUGAACAUUGAUGGAAUAACAAACUAUAAUCUGUGUGCGUCAUCAUGUUUGAAGAAAUAUAAAUAAGGUCAGCAUUUAUUAUCCACCAUCUUUUUCAGAUUCACAAAUGAUUUAUUCUUGUUAGACUUGUGGACGUUGUGAAUAAAUGUAAUAAAUGUUUGUCACAUGACCAUUGGGGGGUGCUGUGUGUGUACAUUAAACAUUUCAGAGAGGACAACCAACUGUAUCUGUAAUGAAUUCACAUGUGAAAGAAACAACAGAAGAC